RNAcentral lists this unclassified non-coding RNA (206 nucleotides) under soil metagenome. RNAcentral describes it as "partial contains 5.8S ribosomal RNA, internal transcribed spacer 2, and large subunit ribosomal RNA". The record is from RNAcentral.
AACCUAGCACACCUGCGGUGUGUACCUGCGGAAGGAUCAUUACAGAGAUUGAUGCACCAAGUGCAUCACCUCCAACCCCUUGCGAAAACAACUAUCAUGUGUUGCUUUGGCAGUGUUUCCACUGCCAGAGGUUUACAUAAAAUCAGCUGUUUGGAUGUUGUCUGAGUAAACUAUAUGAAUUAUUUAAAACUUUUAACAACGGAUCU